UAGUCAUAUGCUUGUCCCAAAGAUUAAGCCAUGCAUGUUUAAGUUUAAGCACAUUAGUGUGAGACUGCGAAUGGCUCAUUAAAUCAGUUAUAAUUUACCUGAUAGUCAACCUUAUCAUUGGAUAACCGUGGUAAUUCUAGAGCUAAUACAUGCGACAAGCCUGACGCGAGGAGGGCUGUAUUUAUUGGAUACGAAACUGAUGGCAGCGAUGCCUUUGGUGAUUCACAAUAACUGUACGGAUCGUAUGGCCUUGCGCUGACGACGUUUCAUUCAAAUUUCUGCCCUAUCAACUUUCGAUGGUACGGUAGAGGCCUACCAUGGUGAUAACGGGUAACGGGGAAUUGGGGUUCUAUUCCGGAGAGGGAGCCUGAGAAAUGGCUACCACGUCCAAGGAUGGCAGCAGGCGCGCAAAUUACCCAAUGCCGACACGGCGAGGUAGUGACAGAAAAUAACGACGCGGGGCCGUGAGGCUUUGCAAUUGGAAUGUGAACAAUCUAAAUCGCUUAACGAGUAACGAUU
RNAcentral lists this ribosomal RNA (519 nucleotides) under uncultured eukaryote. Its description in RNAcentral is "SSU rRNA". It matches the Rfam family "Eukaryotic small subunit ribosomal RNA", at positions 21 to 549 of the family's 1831-position model. The record is from RNAcentral.